Molecule: ribosomal RNA, 200 nt
Filed under: uncultured bacterium
Lineage: Bacteria
Description: partial 16S ribosomal RNA
Rfam family: Bacterial small subunit ribosomal RNA
Source: RNAcentral
AUUGAACGCUGGCGGCAUGCCUUACACAUGCAAGUCGAACGGCAGCACGGGAGCUUGCUCCUGGUGGCGAGUGGCGAACGGGUGAGUAAUAUAUCGCAACGUACCCUAGAGUGGGGGAUAACGCAGCGAAAGUUGCGCUAAUACCGCAUACGAUCUACGGAUGAAAGUGGGGGAUCGCAAGACCUCAUGCUCAUGGAGCG